This 46-nucleotide non-coding RNA is filed under the name Schistosoma curassoni. Lineage: Eukaryota; Metazoa; Platyhelminthes; Trematoda; Strigeidida; Schistosomatidae. The record is from RNAcentral.
ACACUGCUGAGGAGUCCCAAAAUAGGACGAGACGGCCGUCCAGUGC